GGGGCCAUAGCUCAGUUCGGGAGAGCACAAGCUUUGCACGCUUGAGGUCGCCGGUUCGAGGCCGGCUGGCUCCACCA
Molecule: transfer RNA, 77 nt
Filed under: Terriglobia bacterium
Lineage: Bacteria; Pseudomonadati; Acidobacteriota; Terriglobia
Description: tRNA-Ala
Rfam family: tRNA
About the family: Transfer RNA (tRNA) molecules are approximately 80 nucleotides in length.
Source: RNAcentral